GGUUGGUGCCGGCGCGGCAGCAACCUUUGAACUGUGUCAGGUCCGAAAGGAAGCAGCACUAAGGAGGAUCUUCUGGGUGCCGCCGGGGUGCCUGUCCAA
This 99-nucleotide signal recognition particle RNA is filed under the name Chloroflexota bacterium. Its description in RNAcentral is "Chloroflexi bacterium (marine metagenome) signal recognition particle sRNA small type". It matches the Rfam family "Bacterial small signal recognition particle RNA". From Rfam's summary of the family: The signal recognition particle (SRP) is a universally conserved ribonucleoprotein involved in the co-translational targeting of proteins to membranes. Archaeal SRP consists of a 7S RNA and homologues of the eukaryotic SRP19 and SRP54 proteins. In most bacteria, the SRP consists of a 4.5S RNA and the Ffh protein (a homologue of the eukaryotic SRP54 protein). The record is from RNAcentral. Lineage: Bacteria; Bacillati; Chloroflexota.